AUGGAUGCUCCUGAUUGGGUGUUCGAAGAAAUAGAUGCAUGGAUGAGAUCCUUCUUCUGGGCGGGCAAAGACAAAACCAAUGGAGGUCAAUGCUUGGUGGCUUGGAAAACCAUUUGCAGACCAACUUGCUUCGGUGGGUUGGGAGUCAAAAACCUGAAACUCCAAGCCCUAGCGCUUUGAGUUAGGUGGGAGUGGCUGAGCAGAGUCGACAAGGACAGGCCAUGGAGCAACCUUGCGCUAACGGUCGAUACUGAUGCUAGAAUGGUGUUUGACAUCCUGGUGGGAAUAGAGGUUGGACGUGGUGAUCGGGUUCUCUUCUGGAGAGACAGAUGG
RNAcentral lists this ribosomal RNA (333 nucleotides) under Triticum aestivum (bread wheat). RNAcentral describes it as "partial small subunit ribosomal RNA". Lineage: Eukaryota; Viridiplantae; Streptophyta; Magnoliopsida; Poales; Poaceae. The record is from RNAcentral.